GUGUCAGCAGCCGCGGUAAAACGUAGGAGGCGAGCGUUAUCCGGAUUUACUGGGCGUAAAGCGCGUGCAGGCGGUUCGGCAAGUUGGAUGUGAAAUCUCCCGGCUCAACUGGGAGGGGUCGUUCAAAACUACCGGACUAGAGGAUGGUAGAGGAAGGUGGAAUUCCCGGUGUAGUGGUGAAAUGCGUAGAUAUCGGGAGGAACACCAGUGGCGAAAGCGGCCUUCUGGACCAUUCCUGACGCUCAGACGCGAAAGCUAGGGGAGCGAACGGGAUUAGAUACCCUUGUAGUCC
Molecule: ribosomal RNA, 292 nt
Filed under: uncultured bacterium
Lineage: Bacteria
Description: partial 16S ribosomal RNA
Rfam family: Bacterial small subunit ribosomal RNA
Source: RNAcentral